GUAUGGACUCAUCUGGGACACCUAAAGAGAACCAGACAGAGAGGUGUAAUGGGAUUGUAACAGUUAUUAAUAUAAAUACCAGAAUGAUAAAACAAAGAAGGAAGAGACGCAGCUAGAGAGGUAUAUAAUGGCAUUGUAACAAUAAUGUAAAUAACAUUAAAAGUAUGCACAGAGUUGUUGUCUAACUUUUAGAGAGAGAUUAACUUGCCGAGGGGGGCCUGGGGUAGCUGUCGUAGGGGGGUGGAGGGCUGUCCUGUUUGGGUAUUGUUGACGGCAUCUCCAUUUCCUCAUGGUCACUUUCACUCCAGUAUUCUGGUGAUGAUGACAAGGAAGAAGCAGAAAAGAGGACACGUCACCAUCAGAAAGAGAAUGUGGGGGGAUUUUCUAAAGUAGGGAAAACAAAGCGGCUAUUGUCCUUUAUUAUUGCCAGCUUUAUUAAUGUGUAUUCAUGUAUUCUCACCCUGGUCCUGUCGGAUCCUCUCCUGCUCCGAGUAACCUGCCACUGCCAUGGUCAGACGACUCAGCCACCUGUGAGGGAACAACACUAAUGAAACCUCUGUGUCAGCUACAGUAAUCAUCACUGACAGUGACUCUCACCUAUUCAUGUCAUCCACAUUGUCUGCUGCAAAGUAGAAACUCUUGAUCUUUGGAUGGCAGGCCUUGAAAGCACUGGAACACGGAAACAUGAUGUUAAGGACAGAUUCCACCAUACUCCAGCCCUCACAGUCCCCACGCCCCAGGUCCUUACAGGAGAUACGCCUCUUACUGAUGGAGGACAGAGAGCCACCUACUGAAACCUUGAGAGCAGCGAGGAUCGUUCAAACAUCUACAAAAUACCACACAUGAAAUUGAGAGAUAGCAAUACACAUUGAUCUGUCUCCACUGUUAUCAGUCCUCAAAAUAACUUACCAUAAUCACAACAAACAAACUGUAUAAGUCAGUGUUGUCUCAGGGGUCUGGGACCAGUGGGACUUACAUGGUAGAGGGAGGCAGAGUCAGAGCUGGACGUGGACAUGGAGACCUCCAUCUGGAGGGCUGGGUGGAGGGCGUAGUGGGCAGGGCUGCUUUUGUCACUCUUCUUCCUGCUGCGUCCUGUCAGGUACUCCUCUGGCAUGGCCUUGUCCUCACUCUGACUCACAUAGCGCAGCAGGGAGUUUUCUAUGGGAGCAGGAAAGGCCAGCAAUUCUAUCACUUUGUCUAAUGCCAUUUGAUUCUAUAGACCUACAAUGUGUACAUCAUUUCUACCUACUGAAUAUUAAUUGUGCUGUAACUUAGUUAAAAACCUCUACUGGAUCAGUGUCCCGAAAUCGGGACAGUUGCUGCUCAAUAUUUUACUUGAAUGGCGUUGUAAACAAAAGCCAACUUUCCGGGGCAUAGACAUGUCUUAUAUGGUCAGAAAGCUUAAAUGUUGUUAACCUAACCACAGUGUACAAUUUACAGUAGAUAUUACAGCUAAAAAAUACCAUGCUAUUGUUAGAGGAUAGUGCACAACAACAAAACACUUUUAUCAAGGCAACUGGUUUGAUACAUUCACCUCUGACGGUAUAUAAUGUACUUACAUUCAGUAAUCUUGCUCUGAUUUGCCAUCCUGAGGGUACCAGAGACAGAAUGCAGCAUAGUUUUGUUUGAUAAAAUAAAUUGUUAUAUCCUAACACGAUCCAUGUUUUAUACAGCAUUUCGUGUGAAUUCCAACUCUUUCAACAAAACAAUCUAUGAAAUCUAACCGGCUAAACCUUGUUUCACCCGGUCAAUUUUGGUUUCUGUGCAAUCCUCAGACAAUCUAGAAGGCAACCCAAAAAUUGUUAAUCAUUUUACAUUACGUAUUGGCUACAUAACAUGUCAAUUAGCCCAUGAAGGACAGCCAUCAUUAUGCACCAAUGAGACAGGCGGUGUUGACUUGAUUGACCGUCUCUUGCUCCAAUGACCACCUAUCAUUUUGAAACAUAGCUAGCUAGAUAGCCAAUGAGCUGGGCUUUACAUGAGAAUGUGAUGGUCCUUUGUAGGACUAAUGGCCAUUGUCUUAUGGCUCCGCGCAACACGAUUCAUUCCCCAUUGAAAAUCCACAAAGUUUUCUCAAAACUGAAAAAGUACAACAUGGCUGCUAAGAGUAUAAACGCUAAAUCGAACUUCAA
Molecule: non-coding RNA, 2132 nt
Organism: Salmo salar (Atlantic salmon)
Lineage: Eukaryota; Metazoa; Chordata; Actinopteri; Salmoniformes; Salmonidae
Source: RefSeq, a predicted model, not a curated record